AUUGAACGCUGGCGGCAUGCCUAACACAUGCAAGUCGAGCGGAGCUGCGGACGGGUGAGUAAUGCCUAGGAAUCUGCCUGUUAGUGGGGUAUCCCGUCCGGAAACGUGCGAUAAUAACGCAUGCUAUCAAGUAGCCUUCGGUGGGAUUAGCUAGUUGGUGGGGUAGAGGCUGACCAAGGCGACGAUCCGAAACUGGUCUGAGAGGAUGAUCAGUCACAAGGGAACUGGGACACGGCCCAGACUCCUACGGGAGGCAGCAGGGGGGAAUAUUGGACAAUGGGCGAAAGCCUGAUCCAGCAAGGCCGCGUGUGUGAAGAAGGUCUUCGGAUUGUAAAGCACUUUAAGUUGGGAGGCGUUACCAAAAGAAUAAGCACCGGCUAACUUCGUGCCAGCAGCCGCGGUAAUUC
RNAcentral lists this ribosomal RNA (407 nucleotides) under uncultured bacterium. RNAcentral describes it as "partial 16S ribosomal RNA". It matches the Rfam family "Bacterial small subunit ribosomal RNA", at positions 30 to 526 of the family's 1533-position model. The record is from RNAcentral.